UUGCUCGCUUCAGCAGCACAUAUACUAAAAUUGGAAUAAUACAGAGAAGAUUAGCAUGGUCUCUACACACGGGUAACAUGCAAUUCAUGAAGUGUCCCAGGUGAGA
Ictidomys tridecemlineatus (thirteen-lined ground squirrel) is the source of this 106-nucleotide small nuclear RNA. Lineage: Eukaryota; Metazoa; Chordata; Mammalia; Rodentia; Sciuridae. The record is from Ensembl.